Molecule: long non-coding RNA, 261 nt
Organism: Drosophila yakuba
Lineage: Eukaryota; Metazoa; Arthropoda; Insecta; Diptera; Drosophilidae
Exons: 2
Source: RefSeq, a predicted model, not a curated record
UCCCGGGUGAUCUUCUUUUUCACCUUAUCCGGAUAGGCCAUGUACCACUUUUGUAACCGCAGCUUGCCCUGCCGACUGAACAGCAGCAUGAAAAGCAUCUGGAAUAAGGUACCAAGCUCCUCUCAAUUUCCACUGACACAGUCAUCGAGCACCCCCACCAACACACACACAUGUACACCUGGAGCCACCGCUUCAUCAACACACAAAUUUGAUUCGAUAACGAAAUAAAUCACUUGUUCGCCGAAUUUUUCUUAAGCCUUA